Molecule: ribosomal RNA, 779 nt
Filed under: uncultured Neocallimastigales
Lineage: Eukaryota; Fungi; Neocallimastigomycota; Neocallimastigomycetes; Neocallimastigales
Description: partial large subunit ribosomal RNA
Rfam family: Eukaryotic large subunit ribosomal RNA
Source: RNAcentral
AGAGAGAGACAUGCGCGCAUAUCAAUAAGCGGAGGAAAAGAAACUAACUAAGGAUUCCCCUCAGUAACGGCGAGUGAAGCGGGAAGAGCUCAAAUUUGAAAUCUUCAAGGGUUUACCUUUACGAAUUGUAGGUUUAUAGAAGUGUUUUCUGUUAGUGGAGUUGGUAAAAGGUUCUUUGGAAUAGGACAUCAUAGAGGGUGAGAAUCCCGUAUUUGACCAUUCCUCCUAGCGUUGUGAUACACUUUCAACGAGUCGGAUUGUUUGGGAAUGCAGUCCAAAAUGGGUGGUAAAUUUCAUCUAAAGCUAAAUAUUGGCGAGAGACCGAUAGCGAACAAGUACCGCGAGGGAAAGAUGAAAAGAACUUUGAAAAGAGAGUUAAACAGUACGUGAAAUUGUCAAAAGGGAAGCGUUUGACACCAGUGUUGUUUAGUUGAAAAUCAAUUCAAUAGUUUUUGAUUCUAAGUAGUAUUGACUUCAUCAGCUUGCUGCUUUCUUCUCAGAAAUUAUUGAAUGCACUUUUCAGUUAACAAGUCAACAUCAAUUUCUUUUGUUGUAAAAGGGUAAGAGGAAGGUGGCUUGCGCUUCGGCUCAAGUGUUUAUAGCCUUUUAUCUCUGCAAUCGGAGAGAUUGAGGUCUGCAGCGUAGAUCCUUCGGGGUUAGAUACAUUGGUGCUAAGCUAUAGCCUUGUAUAGACAACUUGUUGACUAUGCUCAGUCAUGUAGCUUACUCGCUGAUGCUAUUUUACCUACGCUUAGGAUGUUGAUAGUCACAGCGUGUAC